CCAGAGUCAAUUAAAACACAGGAAGGCUGACAUUUGCAGAAUACCGCAUGAUCAAAGCGCAAAAUGCCCAUACAGCCUCUGACAUAAAACCAGCGUGUCUGACGGAAGACUGACACGCUGUAACAGGUCAGCUCCCCCCUCCCACAAUGCAUCCCCAACAGCCAAUGCUGAACACCCACAUUCAUUAUGAUGAUUAAGGAAUUCUUCCAUCUUUCUGCCUUGAUGUGUUUAUUAAAUUAAUGAAGGGGGAGACAGAUGAAUUUGUGUGCACAGGGUAGAAGCAGGCAGAGGGCCUGGUUCUCUCUGCCACGCUCACGUCGUAAUUGGCUUAAUGGAUUUUCCGUGGUCCGGGAUGUCUCCUUCUUCCUCUCUCAGGCAAACUAAUUACGGCUUUUUACAUUAAAUUCUAAUAGAUUUCAAUUUA
Long non-coding RNA from Cebus imitator (Panamanian white-faced capuchin), 424 nucleotides. RefSeq lists it as uncharacterized. The record is from RefSeq and is a predicted model, not a curated record. NCBI's taxonomy places the organism in Eukaryota, Metazoa, Chordata, Mammalia, Primates, Cebidae. The transcript has 2 exons.